This 510-nucleotide ribosomal RNA is filed under the name uncultured bacterium. Its description in RNAcentral is "bacterial SSU rRNA". It matches the Rfam family "Bacterial small subunit ribosomal RNA", at positions 8 to 518 of the family's 1533-position model. The record is from RNAcentral.
AGAGUUUGAUUCUGGCUCAGGAUGAACGCUGGCGGCGUGCCUAACACAUGCAAGUCGAACGAAGCAUAGAAGACGGAGAUUCGUCAAAGCCUUUAUGACUUAGUGGCGACGGGUGAGUAAUGUAUGAGCAACCUGCCUUUCAGAGGGGGACAACAGUUGGAAACGACUGCUAAUACCGCGUAACGUAGUGAGGGGGCAUCCCUUUAUUACCAAAGGAGCAAUCCGCUGAAAGAUGGGCUCAUAUCUGAUUAGCUUGUUGCGGGGUAAGGCCCACCAAGGCGACGACCAGUAGCCGGACUGAGAGGUUGAACGGCCACAUUGGGACUGAGAUACGGCCCAGACUCCUACGGGAGGCAGCAGUGGGGAAUAUUGGGCAAUGGGCGAAAGCCUCGACCCAGCAACGCCGCGUGAAGGAAGAAGGUCUUCGGAUUGUAAACUUCUUUUAUGAGGGACGAAGGACGUGACGGUACCUCAUGAAUAAGCCACGGCUAACUACGUGCCAGCAGCUGC